GUGUGUUGUGUCUCUGUUUGUUAUUUGUUUUUAAGCUUUCUAAUGUGGUGAUCUGUGUUUGCCUGUGUGGAGUCUUCCCCACAGAGUGUUGGGCGGGGCUCUUCUCCACACUGGUUCUCUCCAGCUCUGGCUGCUCCUGCACCUUCACAGCUGUUCCCCAUCAAGCUAAUCAAGACACUGCACUUAAGCUCUGAGGAGAGAGGAGUCGGGUGCCAGAGUGUUCCCGCUUCUACAGUGUGCCUCCUCAAGCCUCCUGCACCUCCGCCCUAUCUCUGCCACGCUGCCACGCUCUCCCUCUGGACACUCACCUGCCUUCACCCCAAGGCUCACGCUUCACUCCUGCCUCUCCUGGAUCGCACCCUCACCUUGGAUUCUCCAUCAAUCAUCCUUCACCUCACCGUUAAAAGAAAUAAAAUUACUUCAACUGCUUCCUCA
Molecule: long non-coding RNA, 435 nt
Organism: Notolabrus celidotus (New Zealand spotty)
Lineage: Eukaryota; Metazoa; Chordata; Actinopteri; Labriformes; Labridae
Exons: 2
Source: RefSeq, a predicted model, not a curated record